Molecule: ribosomal RNA, 365 nt
Filed under: uncultured eukaryote
Lineage: Eukaryota
Description: SSU rRNA
Rfam family: Eukaryotic small subunit ribosomal RNA
Source: RNAcentral
AGCUCCAAUAGCGUAUAUUAAAGUUGUUGCAGUUAAAAAGCUCGUAGUUGGACCUUUGACAAGGCCGGCUGGUCUGCCGCAAGGCAGCACUGGGUGAGCCGCGUCACGAUUUUGGGGAACUGUUCAUUCGUGGGCAGGGAACCAAGGAUUACUUUGAAGAAAUUAGAGUGUUUAAAGCAGGCGAUUGCUUGAAUACAUUAGCAUGGAAUAAUAAGAUAUGACUGCGGUCUUAUUUUGUUGGUUUGAGGGCCACAGUAAUGAUUAAUAGGGAUAGUUGGGGGCAUUUGUAUUCAGUAGUCAGAGGUGAAAUUCUUGGAUUUACUGAAGACAAACUAAUGCGAAAGCAUCUGCCAAGGAUGUUUUCA